GCUAUACUUGCUUUGGCAGUACUAAAAAUUGGAACAGUACAGAGAAGACUAGCAUGGCCCCCACAAAACGAUAGCAUGCACAUUCAUGAAGCAUUCCAUACUUUU
Cervus hanglu yarkandensis (Yarkand deer) is the source of this 105-nucleotide small nuclear RNA. The record is from Ensembl. NCBI's taxonomy places the organism in Eukaryota, Metazoa, Chordata, Mammalia, Artiodactyla, Cervidae.